RNAcentral lists this ribosomal RNA (120 nucleotides) under Jaculus jaculus (lesser Egyptian jerboa). The record is from RNAcentral. Lineage: Eukaryota; Metazoa; Chordata; Mammalia; Rodentia; Dipodidae.
GUCUACAGCCACACCACCCUGAACCCACCCAAUCUCCUCUGAUCUCAGAAGCUAAGCAGGGUUGGGCCUGGUUAGCACUUGGAUGGGAGAAGGUCUCUUUUAACUGGGUCCUUGUAUAUC